UUUGGGUUCCGGGGGAAGUAUGGUUGCAAAGCUGAAACUUAAAGGAAUUGACGGAAGGGCACCACCAGGAGUGGAGCCUGCGGCUUAAUUUGACUCAACACGGGAAACCUCACCAGGCCCGGACACUGGAAGGAUUGACAGAUUGAGAGCUCUUUCUUGAUUCGGUGGGUGGUGGUGCAUGGCCGUUCUUAGUUGGUGGAGCGAUUUGUCUGGUUAAUUCCGAUAACGAACGAGACUCUAGCCUGCUAAAUAGGCGACGGGUUUUAUCCGUCCGUCGCUCUUCUUAGAGGGACAAGCGGCGUCCAGCCGCAUGACAAAGAGCAAUAACAGGUCUGUGAUGCCCUUAGAUGUCCUGGGCCGCACGCGCGCUACACUGAAGGAAUCAGCGUGUUUUCCCUGUCCGAAAGGACCGGGUAACCGCUGAACCUCCUUCGUGGUUGGGAUUGGGGACUGCAAUGAUCCCCAUGAACCAGGAAUCCCUAGUAGGCGCAAGUCACUAGCUUGCGUCGAUUACGUCCCUGCCCUUUGUACACACCGCCCGUCGCUACUACCGAUUGAAUGAUUUAGUGAGGCCUUCGGACGGACUCGCCGGGCGGAGCUUCCGCUUCGCUCCGGCGGGACUGAAAGAUGGUCGAAACUUAAC
This 643-nucleotide ribosomal RNA is filed under the name Lepidurus apus. Its description in RNAcentral is "SSU rRNA". It matches the Rfam family "Eukaryotic small subunit ribosomal RNA", at positions 1106 to 1769 of the family's 1831-position model. Lineage: Eukaryota; Metazoa; Arthropoda; Branchiopoda; Notostraca; Triopsidae. The record is from RNAcentral.